Molecule: ribosomal RNA, 602 nt
Filed under: uncultured Bacillus sp.
Lineage: Bacteria; Bacillati; Bacillota; Bacilli; Caryophanales; Bacillaceae
Description: bacterial SSU rRNA
Rfam family: Bacterial small subunit ribosomal RNA
Source: RNAcentral
CGGCNGUCGACGAUUCCUACGGGAGGCAGCAGUAGGGAAUCUUCCGCAAUGGACGAAAGUCUGACGGAGCAACGCCGCGUGAGUGAUGAAGGUUUUCGGAUCGUAAAACUCUGUUGUUAGGGAAGAACAAGUACUAGAGUAACUGCUAGUACCUUGACGGUACCUAACCAGAAAGCCACGGCUAACUACGUGCCAGCAGCCGCGGUAAUACGUAGGUGGCAAGCGUUGUCCGGAAUUAUUGGGCGUAAAGCGCGCGCAGGCGGUCCUUUAAGUCUGAUGUGAAAGCCCACGGCUCAACCGUGGAGGGUCAUUGGAAACUGGGGGACUUGAGUACAGAAGAGAAGAGUGGAAUUCCACGUGUAGCGGUGAAAUGCGUAGAGAUGUGGAGGAACACCAGUGGCGAAGGCGACUCUUUGGUCUGUAACUGACGCUGAGGCGCGAAAGCGUGGGGAGCAAACAGGAUUAGAUACCCUGGUAGUCCACGCUGUAAACGAUGAGUGCUAAGUGUUAGAGGGUUUCCGCCCUUUAGUGCUGCAGCUAACGCAUUAAGCACUCCGCCUGGGGAGUACGGCCGCAAGGCUGAAACUCAAAGGAAUUGACGG